AUACGUAGGUGACAAGCGUUAUCCGGAUUUACUGGGUGUAAAGGGCGUGUAGGCGGUUUAGCAAGUCAGAAGUGAAAUUCCCGGGCUUGACUUGGGCGCUGCUUCUGAAACUGCUUUACUUGAGUGCUGGAGUGGAUAGUGGAAUUCCUAGUGUAGCGGUAAAAUGCGCAGUUAUUAGGAGGAACACCGGUGGCGAAGGCGGCUAUCUGGACAGUAACUGACGCUGAGGCGCGAAAGCACGGGGAGCAAACAGGAUUAGAUACCCUGGUAGUCCGUGCCGUAAACGAUGAAUACUAGGUGUAGGGGGUAUCGACUCCCUCUGUGCCGCAGUUAACACAUUAAGUAUUCCACCUGGGGAGUACGGCCGCAAGGUUGAAACUCAAAUGAAUUGACGGG
Molecule: ribosomal RNA, 396 nt
Filed under: uncultured bacterium
Lineage: Bacteria
Description: partial 16S ribosomal RNA
Rfam family: Bacterial small subunit ribosomal RNA
Source: RNAcentral